Peromyscus maniculatus bairdii (prairie deer mouse) is the source of this 1887-nucleotide long non-coding RNA. RefSeq lists it as uncharacterized. Lineage: Eukaryota; Metazoa; Chordata; Mammalia; Rodentia; Cricetidae. The record is from RefSeq and is a predicted model, not a curated record.
GGGGGGGCGCUAUGUGGCGUCACUUCCCCUUCCGUUCUGGAGUGUAGCCCGGGAGAUUCGGGUCUCGGCCGUCCUGGACCGAGAUGGAGUUCUGGGAGCUGAGAGAUGGCUCUGGGGUUAAGAGGGUUGCUCUUGUUGAGGACCCAGGUUUGAUCCCAGCACCCAGGUGGCGGCUCACAGUUUUCCGUAACUUCACCCCGUCUGACUUAAAUCUUAAAUCUCUCUCUAUGUCUCGUUCCUUUUUCUCAAGAGGCAAAGGCAGGCAGAUCUCUGUGAGUUCAGGGCUAGCCUGCAUAGUGAGGCAGAGAGACUGAGAUCAUUCUGGAGCCAAAUAUGAGUGACUGUGGUCCAGGAACACAGAUUUGAAGUUAUCCCCAACUCCACAUGCAAAUGUGGUUACUCUUUCACAAAAUAAUGGUAACAGAACAAAGAAAAUUAUAAAGCAUGUAACAGACCUUAGCACUACCCACGCCAUGAUGAAGUAUCAUCCAGGCUGUAAAACUCAGCAUGUAGACAGCACCACCUGCUAAAACAAAGGCCUAAUCCAUCAAAAUCUAUAGUUAUGAGAAAGUUUCUAAAUGUAAUAACCUUGCUUUUUGGCAUCUGCAGUUCUGCUUCUGGCUAACUGUUCUUGUUAAGUGAAGUAUGUCAACAUGGUGCUUAAAAGCUCACGCUGAGAAAGCCUCGGGGUUAUACUGGGAUCUUGACCACCCAGUGUAGUCACCAACUGGCUAAUAAAGACAUUUAAUUGGCUUAAACUUGUGUCCGAGCAAUCUUCUCUGGUGGAUACCCCGCAACAAGCACAAUCCCAGAUGCAUUGGUGGAAACAUCAGGGACCUGAGUACUGCAAGAUGCUUCCCUCUGGACCCUGGCUUAGGCACAGACCACACCCAAACACCAAUAUCCAAGCACAAACCAAACACAAAGCAAUCAUUUAUUAAGCAAAGCAGAGACGAGGUGGCUGGAUCUGAAUUGGACAGAAACUUUAUUACCUGUCUAUUGGAGAAAGUGGAGUAUUGAAAUCACCUGUUAAUAUUCUGAUCCCACCCCUUGGGGCCACCCUGCAUCCUGAUGUAGAAGCCUCUUCUUAAGGAAAAACUCUGCCCUUUCUCUCUCCUUCUAAUUUUCCUCCCAUGAAGUACACACCUCCUCCCUCCCCCCCCCUCUGGCUCCCUCUUUCUGUCUCUCUGCCUCUUUCUCUCUAUUAUAAUAAACUCUCUGCAUGGAUACAGCAUCUGGGUGUGUAUUACUGGUCACUGCCACUGCUGCCAUGCCCGCAUGGCGUGCAUCUGCCCAACAUGUUUUCCUGCACAUGUGGGAUACCCUCGGGGGCCCCCUCAUAAUAAAUCAUAACACCUACUAUCAAUGGAUUGAUGUUAAUCUGUGUCUUAAAUCCAGUAGUACAAUUUUUAUGAAAUUGGGUACACCAGAGUUUGAUACAUGUAUUUAGGAGAGUAGUUCUUCUUGUGUAGAGAACCUCAUGCUCACAGAUAAGCACUAGAGAAACCAGGAGCAUUAUACAUGCAGGCUUUUCUCUUUAACAAAAGGGAUGUGUAUCUGUUUUCUACCCAGAAGCCUGGGAGUGGAUGUAGCCUGGUAAUCUGUGCUACUUGUAGGGCAGGACACACCCAAAUCCCCCAGACUAUUAUGUUAUUCUAGACUCUUCCUUCCUGGACCUUUAUCUUUAGCUUUGUUUCUCAGUCCCCAUACUUAGGGGAGAUAGUACAUGUAUUUUAUAGCCUGCCGAUGAUUAUGUUAUUUGUGACUAUGAUUGAGACCACACCAAACCCUAGGUCCUUAAGCUAUAGAACCCAUUUUUUUUUUUUUGUAAGAGGUCACAUAUACUGUGCCAAAGAAUUUUGGUGUAGUUGAACCUUAAGCUUUAUU